CCUACGGGAGGCAGCAGUAGGGAAUCUUCCACAAUGGGCGACAGCCUGAUGGAGCAACGCCGCGUGGGUGAAGAAGGUCUUCGGCUCGUAAAACCCUGUUGUUCGAGAAGAAAGUGCGUGAGAGUAACUGUUCACGUUUCGACGGUAUCUAACCAGAAAGCCACGGCUAACUACGUGCCAGCAGCCGCGGUAAUCCGUAGGUGGCAAGCGUUAUCCGGGGUUAUUGGGCGUAAAGGGAACGCAGGCGUUCUUUUAAGUUUGAUGUGAAAGCCUUCGGCUUAACCGUAGUAGUGAAUGGGAAACUGGGAGACUUGAGUGCAUAAGAGGAGAGUGGAACUCCAUGUGUAGCGGUGAAAUGCGUAGAUAGAUGGAAGAACACCAGUGGCGAAAGCGGCUCUCUGGUCUGUAACUGACGCUGAGGUUCGAAAGCGUGGGUAGCAAACAGGAUUAGAUACCCGGGUAGUC
This 465-nucleotide ribosomal RNA is filed under the name uncultured bacterium. RNAcentral describes it as "partial 16S ribosomal RNA". It matches the Rfam family "Bacterial small subunit ribosomal RNA", at positions 338 to 795 of the family's 1533-position model. The record is from RNAcentral.